UGUGCCAAGCCUAUUUGCCACCAUUAUUCAACACAAACCAAAUUAUAAUCCUAUCUUCAGAAAAUAAAAUAGAAUUUAUGGACAAAAAAAAAAAAAAUAAUUUACUCUGCAUCCCCUUAGACCAGCAAGAAAAUUACUGGUAUUAAAGAUAGCCGUUCAAUGAAUCCAUACUUGGAAGCCGCUCCCCAUGUGACGGACGCAGAGGUUGUGUUAUGAUGACCUCCGUUGCCUCUCGUACCACCACUUGUAGCCAAAGCACCGCCAGCAGUUCCUACGAUAACACCACCACCAACUACAACACCUCUACCUUGAGUGCCAGUACCUACACCUCCACUGCUACCACCACUACCACCACCUUUAGCACCCCGACCAACGCUACCUCCUCCACUGCCACGACUACUACCGCCACCGCCACCACCACCACCCCCCCUGCCACCUCCACCUCCUCCUCUGCCUCCGCCCCUUUGAGCAGCCCCUGAAUUUACCAUCAAAGCAAUGAGUGCGACCACAAGAACUAUCAUUGCUAUGUUUCUUCCUGAGAUCUUCUUCAUCUUCAUCUUCAUAUUUGGAGACCAAACGCAGAAAAAUCAAGAACUCAGAAACCAAGAAAGUUUAUGUAUAUACUUUUUGAUGAAGAACAUUUUUUUAUUUGGAAUAAUACAGGAACAAGAUAAUUAAAUCUCCGGGAGCUAAGAAAUUCUUACAUAGGAGAUGAAAGAAUUGAUAGAGAGAAAAUGUUACCAAGCGAGGCCGAAUCAAGGUCAAAAAAGACAAGUCACUCACAGAGAAUCUUCCAAGAAGCAAAGAAAAAUUUAAUUGAUCUCUAAAUGUGUUCAGAUAGAAUUGAAGAGAAUGAGGGCAUUUCUUUUUCUUUUUCUAUCAAGA
This 885-nucleotide unclassified non-coding RNA is filed under the name Hevea brasiliensis (rubber tree). The record is from RNAcentral. Lineage: Eukaryota; Viridiplantae; Streptophyta; Magnoliopsida; Malpighiales; Euphorbiaceae.